ACUACGACGACCACUAGUGUUACGUAUCUGUGGGUUUCUGGUAACUUCCGCCGUCGUCUCACGUUCUCUCUCACACAUACAUAUAAAACCACCGCCUUCACAAGGCUUUAGUACAUAAAUACACUCACACAGACGUAGUAAAUAUAUAUAUAUAUAUAUAGUUAUAACAUACUGACAAGAUUAUACCUUUGAAGGAAUAUUAAGUUUUUUCUUCUUACGAACUUCAGUCAAAACUUCAAUUUAACCAAAGUAAGUAAUUUCCUCCCUUCUUUCAAAACUACCCCACUGAGCUAUAUAUUUAUAUACACACACAAUACUAUAUUAUAAAUAUGAAAUAAUCGUUUGUAUAUCUAUCUGUAUAGUAGAUACGUGGCUCGUAUUUUUAAAUACAUAUGUAUAUACACACACGCAUACAUUGCUAUAUUGCAUGUAAGAUAGCCGUCUGUACGCAUGAAAUAUGGAUUUAUAUACACGUGUAUAUAUACUUCCUUAUAAUGAAUAAAUAAAUAAUUAUAUAUAUGUACAUACACACAUUGUGUUCGUAAUUUCAGAUGUGUGAAUACCGUCGACCGGCUUUCUCCUCUUGCCGCCGUUUUCUGUCUUCAACCUUGUUGUUAAUGUCUACCGCUUCCCUCUAUCAUAAUAGUAAAUAAAGGCUAUCCUUAUUUCUUUGUUUUUAUUGUCUCUUGAACACGGACAUUGUUCAAUCCUCUACAAAUAACCAAAUCUAUCUCAUAGCACGCAUCCUGACAUUUUUAAAAAUUGGUUAAAGGACGAUGAAAUCCGAAGACGUGAUGGCCAUGGCAGGAAUGCCUAUUGUCAUAAUCCUACUUGACCAGGGAACAGCUGUACGUGGAUGUUCGACCUGUUUGAAAAAAGAACCAAAUCCUCCUCAAAUUUAUAUUAAUUAUCUAAAAGGGAACAAAAUGAAAUAGUGAAUGACAUUGGAUGAAAUAAAAUGGAUAGUCAAAGCUGAAACGUAUGUGACUUUGGUUCUGUUUGAUCAGGUUUGAUUUAGGGGCUCAUAACAAAACAAGACAUUGUUAUUUCAAGUAUUCUGAAAUACAACAUCUCUGAAGAAAAAUCGUAUCUUCGUUAGUGAGUGGGGUCACCUCGAGGCAGGACCCUAUCAUUAAAUGUAACACUGCGCGCGCUUAAAACAGGCCGUACAUUGUGUUACACUCGCACACGUGUGUACACACACACACUAUAUAUAUAUAUAUAUAUAGUGGAAAUCGCUUAUAACCAGGGACAGUACUAUCAGGUUUAGUAGGUCCCAAACAUGUCCAGGAUGUUAUCUCUUCUAAUGUUAUCAACCGGUUAUUGUUACCUAUAAGGUUCCAUUCCUAAUUGAUAAGCUCUCACUAUGUGUGUGUGUGUGUGUAUCUAUAUAUAUAUAUAUAUAUAUAUAUAUAUAUAUAUACACACACACACACAUACACACAAUUUAUUAGAAUCAGCCAAAUCACAUCCCACUGUGCCAAAAAAGAAAAAAAAAAAGGGAUGGGAUGUAGAUAAAGCAGACAAGGUAUAUGCAAAAAGAUACUGCAGUAAAGUUUGUGAUUACAGGUUUAUACGAUAACAGUUGCCCUAGGGUUAAACGGCGAUUGCAACUGUUAAGAGAUAGCAGUCAAAUUGCCAUGUGGUAUGUGUGUGUAUAUAUAUAUCGUCUGUAAAAACAAAUCCGAAAGAAGCAUAUAUUAAAAAUGUAGAAGGCCGGUUUAUGUUAUUACCUUUGGUUUCUCGUCCAUAAAGGGUUUAGUUUAUGGCGUAUCGUUAGAUCACAAGCCCUUCUAAAAAUACACGCAAAUAUUUGCUACACAUGUGUGUGCAUAAUAACGAUAGAUGUUAUAUGUAAAACAAAAAGCCCUAAUUGAAUAAAGGGCUCAGUAUAUGAAGUGAAAGAUUUAAUGUUACUGUUUUCAAGUGAUAGAAACUGAAGUUUGACGCUAAAAGCUUUUCAGAUUGGUAAAAAAUUAGACUUUUUUUUAUACACACACACAAUUAUGAUCGAAACUGAAUGUUCAUCUCACGACUCUAGUUUCCUUCUAUUUCGAUAUUGUAUGGUGAAGUUGGUAUAUUGGUCGAAAUGGAAUUAUCGAUUAAAAAAUAAUGAACUAAUAUAGGGUUGGCUGGAAUGUUGAGAACAUGGCAUAUGGGAUUAGAUAUGCUCUGUGGUCAGUAUGGUGGUUCCUGUGAGGAGAGGGGCAUGGUUAAUGUAUGUGUGUGUGCGUGUGUAUAUAUAUAUAUAUAUAUAAGUAGAGGUGCAGAGGCCCAGUUGUUAGGGCAGCGGACUCGCAGUAGUAGGAUCGCGGUUUCGAUUCCCAGACCCAUCGUUGUGUUUAUUGAGCGAAAACACCUAAAGCUCCACGAGGCUCCGGCAGGGAGUGGUGGCGAACCCUGCUGUAUUCUUUCAUCACAACUUUCUCUUACUCUUUCUUUCUGUUUCUGUUGUACCUGUAUUUCAAAGGGUUUGUGUCACACUGAAUCUCCUCGAUUCUGGAGUGCUCAGCCACUUGCAUGUUAAUUUCACAAGCAGACUGUUCCGUUGAUCGGAUCAACUGGAACCCUCGUCGUUGUAACCGACAGAGUGCUACGAUAUAUAUUGUAAUUCUUUAUGAAGGUAUAAAACUGCCUUCUAAAUUUGAAAAUGGUUUUCUUUUAUAACAAAUAGUUACGGAUCUGUAACGAAAGAUGGCCGUUCCUGAAUUCAUUUCAUAACAGUGUAACUUCAUGUUACUGUUAUGAAAGUGGUGAGAAAGAAUCUUCAGAAUUUAGGCCUCACUGAAGAGAUGACAAGCGACAGACUUCUGGAGAUUUGCUGUGCUUGAGAAGAUAUAUCAAGCUAAUCGUGGUCAUCUAUACAUUCAAGCACAUUAGAUGGGAUGUAUUUGUCCUGCAGGCUCAUAGGUGCUAGUGUCACAUAAAAAGCAUCUGUGCCAGUGCCGUGUAUAAAGCACCCAUGCUAGUGCCGUGUAUAAGGUACUCAUUCUAGUGUCAUAUGUAAAGCACUUUGUGUCAGUACCACAUAUAAAGCACCCAGCACACUUUGUAAAGUGGUUGGUGUUAGCAAGGGCAUCCAGCCAUAGAAAUCAUGCCAAAAUAGACAAUUGGAGCCUGGCCAGCUCCAGUCAAACUGUCCAAUCCAUGUUUGCAUGCAUUAUAGUACCUGGGGGAUGACUCCCUCAUUAUGCUGCGUGUCAAAGCAGUCGAAAGUCAUAGAUGGGUGAGACAACUUGUCUCUGAACCUAUUCAGGAGUGUUGAACACCAGUAUUUCACCAUUUUUGUGGCUUAUCAACAUAAUAGCAGCUGAAUCUAACUAGGAACAAAUCGAAUCACCUGGUUAUGAUUAUUUUUAGUGUAAAAUCUAUUCGCUGUUUGAUUUAGGUACAUGUUGAUAAGCCACAAAAAUAGCGAAAUAUCGCUAUCCAUCACUCCUGAAUGGGAUCAGAGGUGAGUUGUCUUGCCUAUCUCUUCAUGUGUUUUCAUCACUCAAGUGCUAUACUGCUGUGAAUAAACAAAACGUACAUGUUGAGUAUGUGCAGUUGAUAAUGAUUUCAACUCUAGCACUGCUUUUAGUUCAUUAUUGAAUACACACACACCUUUCCCCCAAUUUCCUCCUCAAGUUUUUCUCACCAUCCAUUGUCUCUCUGACCCUUCCAUUACCUUCAUAAUUUUGGUAUUUAGCUGGUGUGAUUAAAUGGGAGUAGAACUGCAAGUCUCAUCAUUUUCUGUGAUACCUGUUAUCUUUCUCUCUUCCUAGAACCACUUCAUUUGUCCUAAAUUCGUCCAGAACCGUCCUUAAUUCUUAAUAUUGCCCCUCUACACUCCUAUUUUACGCUAAUCACCCUCUGUUCUACCAAAUUAUCUGCCUUCAACUACCUUACAUCUUUCACUCUUUCCCGGCAUUACAUCUGUCCUUCCCCUUAUUCUCAUGCAUUCUGCUAACCCACAUCUUCUUAUUCUUCCCUUCCCUACUAUUAUUACUAUUUGGCUUGCUACCCAUCACCACCUUCUGUACUGUCAGUCAUCGCCUACUUCCACUUACACCCCCAUCUCAUGUAUCAUGAACCAUCCUUCUCCAUCUCUAUUUCCAACUUCUCGAUUCUAUCCAACCACUGCAGUCAUCACCUACUCUUCCCUCUAUCAUCAACCAUUCCUUAACGUCUGUUCUUCAUUCAUUCCCCAUCUCUAACCAUCACUACUUCAUACACUCUGAUCUCUAUUCAACUUGUACCUUCAAGUUCCACCCUGAUACUUCACCUACUUCACCACUAUUUUGUCUCUGUGUGUAUAUAUAUAUAUAUAUACACAUGGUCAUUUCAUCAUGUUGAACUGUUAAUCCCUACACAUUUUUUCUCUCCAUUUUUUUUUUGUUCUUUCUAUUUUUUCCCUCUCAACCCUUUCUGUUAAAUAGCGUAGGCUGGAAAUGUCAAUGACCUUCUUGAUGUUCUCCCACAUGUCUUCGUCUUUUGUUUUCUGUAAAUUUGAACUAUAUCCACACACACUAAACAGUAUCUAUACAUCAUAGUCAUAUAUACCCACAUUUCUUCAAGCAUUUAUGCUUGUGUCUUAUGUUGAUACUGUGUUAUUUCUACUUCAAACUCAUUCAGGUGAUAGCAAUUUUGUUUUUUAGUUGAUUUUAUGUAAAACAUGAACAUUUCUUGUUUUGCUAAACUAACUACAUAAUGUAACUAUUUUUUUGUCAUUUGUCUGUGUUUAAACUGUUGUUAAUGGUGUAGUCCUGUGUGUCCCAUAACUUAGUAAUUUGAUAAGUACUGGAAUUACGAUUGACAAACUACAGUGUUAAACACCAUCUGUGGAAGGUAUUUACUCUACAAGUUAGCCUCAGAUGAAGAGUGUCUAUGGGCUGGGACUUGAAACUCUAAUAACAAAAUACUAUAAAUUGGAACAAGCAUGUAUAUAUAUCUUAUUUUAUUGUUAGUAUUACUGUGUUCAUGCUGGCAAGAAUUGGAUAGAUUCUUAUUGUUCAAGUUCUUAUUAAGAGGCUGUAUAGUUAUGAAAUUCAUGUUGCAACUAUGUAGUUUUGUGUUUAAGUACAAGUGCUUUGCAUCUUGGGCAAGUAUUUUCUAUUAUAGUCUUGGGUUGACCAUUGCUCUGUGAAUGAAUUUAGUAGACAGAAACUGCAGAAUCUUGUCAUGUGUACAUGUGAAUGUUGAUUCUGAAUAUUGAGUGGAAGCAGUGACAUUUUGUGUCCCUUUGUAAGCAAAGCAUCUGUAUUUCAGUGACGUCAUUGUAAGGAACAGUGAGAUAAAAAGCAAGUUAGGAUUGGAGGCAAAAUGCAGCCCCACAUGACUUUCUGAAUGGCAUGCUAAUGAAAAAUUACCUUGAAUUUUUUUAGUAUUGUACCUGAGAUGAGCCAUGUUUCAUGCCUCAUAUUGAAAAAGGUUGCCUCUGCUUGGUCUAAUUCAUACCAGCAUCAUCGUCAUCAUUUUUUAAUGUCUGUUUUCCAUACUGGCAUGGGUUGGACGGUUUUAACAUGGAGCUGGCCAGCUGCAGAGCUGUCCAAACUCCAAAUGUGGCAUGGUUUCUACAGCUGGAUGCCCUUCCUAAAGCCAACCACUUUACAGUGUGCUGAAUAUUUUUUAUGUGCCACCAGUACAGGGGCAUUUACGCAGCACCAACAUGGGUGCAUUUUUUGUGGUACCAGCACCUGCAAAGGACAAGCCUGUAUGUAUGGAAGAUAGCAAUUUUACUUAGCUUGAUGUCUUUUCAAGUACAGCAAAUCACCACAACUUCCAGUCCCUUAUCAUUUCCUUGCUGAGGCCCAGUAUCUAAAGAUCCUUUCUCACCACUUUGUCCCACAAGUUCCCUCCACAGUAGAGCUUGGCACUUUUUGUAACUGUCCUCAUCCAUAUGCAUCAUAUGACCACACCAGGGCAGUUUUUUUCUCUUGCACACAACAUCUAAUGCCUCUUAUACCCAAUGUGUUCCUCUUAAAUCACUUACACUCUGUUGUGUACAUACACUGACAUUACCCAUUCAGCAGAGCAUGCUAGCUUCAUUUCUUUCAAGCCUUUACAAGUCCUCUAGUCAAAACCCAUGUUUCACUGCCAUGUAGCUCAGAAGUGCAUUGUUUCAGUCUCAUCAGUUACAAAUGUGUUUCAACAAUUGCUAAGGAAUUCAUUAUAUGACAAAUUGGUAUCCUGUCCACUGGGUGGAUAAUCUUAUACUCUUAUUGCUAAACAUCACAAAAACCAGUAUAAACUCCAGCUCACUCCCAAUAGACACUAUAGGCUUUAGAAAAACUUUAUAUAUAUAUAAAAUCAUCAUCUAUUUUCCAUGCUGGCAUUGGUUGGAUGAUUUGACAGGAUCCAGUGGGCCCAGGGACUGCAUCAUACUCUAGUCUCUGUUUUAGAGAGUUUCUAUGGUUGGAUGUUCUUCCUCGCAUCAAUCAUUUUACAGUGUUUACUGGGUGCUUUUUUUUCAUGCCACCAACACUAGUAAUGUUGCCAUGCAGCUUGCACGUGAGGUGGGGUUACUUUAAGCUAAGAGAAAAAGGUUGGAGUGAAGCAGUUUCAUGCUGAAGAGGAGUUUAAGACAGCCAGUCUUAAACUCCUCUGUGAUGGUCUGUAGGACUAUGAAGGACUGAACCUCGAUGGACUCCUACUAUCUGCUGAAUUCAUCAUUGAGAUCAUUGCUGAAUUCAUCAUUGAAAUCAUUGUUGAUUCUCACUGCAUCCUUGUACAUAACUUGCAGAGCCCUUGUAAGCCAUUCAUCUACACUGAGUAUCCUCUGUGAUCACUGAAUUUCUGAGUAUGGUAGUCUGUCAGAAGCUUUCUUCAAAUUAAUGAAAAUCAAGAAUGGCAGUUUAUUCUUAGCCAAGUAUUUCUCUUGUAGCGUACUAGAAAGAUUCAUCUCCUCUAGGUCUACUCUAUCAUGGACCAUUUAAGUUAUGACUCUUAGUGAACUUCAUAACCAGGUCUUGUAGUUUAUUCCUCUUCAGUUGCUUUUCUCUAAGCUGUCUCUUUUGCCUUUGUAGCAGUUUAUGAUGCUGCUGCUAUGCCAGUCAUUGGGUGACCAUAGCUGUGAGCAGUAAUCCAGACGGCUGAGGACGAAUGUCCUCCAAAGGACCAUCAUGGUUUCCUUAUCUCUGGUUCUGAAUGUUCUCAGGAUCCAUCCAGCCAGUUGUCUGCAUUUUGUCACCAUCCUGGUAAUGUGCACUUGGAAAGAGGUAUCAUCACUCAUGUUGAUACCCAGGUCCCUCACUAAUUUAGACUCUGGGAUUGAAAUUCCCUGUGGACCAGUGUACCCUGUAAGUUUCAUAUUCAGUUUUGGACACUGGUAGUGCAGGGCUUGGAAUUUUUCAGCAUUAAAUUGCAUUUUUAUUAUCCUUAGCCCAUCUGUAAAUUGAGUUCAACUCCUGCUGCAUUUUAACCAUUUCCUGAAGUUUAAAUGACUUCAAAUCCUGUUUCAAAUGGGUUAUCACCACAAUGCAACCAAAAGGAUUUCAUCGAGGCACACCAGGGUCAUUAUAUCCAACCAAUACUGUAGGAAAACUAUUGUUUACAGUGACAAAACUGCAUCAUAGGGAAUUUUUUUCAGAAGCAAGAAAUAGUUUAAAUUUAUAUGUGAGACAUUGGUCCUUCAACAAGAUUUAAAUAUAAUGUCCUAACAAUAUCUUUUAUCUUGUUACAGUUAUUUCUAUAAAUAUUCUAUAGAAAUUAUAGCCAACCCUGAUUUUUACUACAGCAUUUUAUAUACAAGGUGUUAAAUGUAAACAAACACUAGCAAAAAUCAGUACUAGCUAUAAUUUCUAUAGAAUAUCUAUAAAUAACCAUAACAAAAUAGUAAUGUGGUAUUGACUUAUAAAAAUAUUUCAUGUACUUUGUAGUAUUUUAUGGUUGCAUAACAAAAUACCAUGUACCUACAAAUCAUUAAUAUUUUUCAGAUUCGGAAUGAUUUGCAUCCUUUAACCGUUUCGUUACCAAACCGCCCAAAGCCGCCUGAAAAAAAUUUUGGUUAAUGUGACCAAAGCCGCCCGUAUUUACCUAUUCAUAUUUAAAUGAGAAUAUCAGAGCAAAUCUCUUUAGUACAUUCGUGAAAACACGUGAUUAUACUUCGUAAACAGUUUAUCUACAGUUUUGUACAACGAUCGACGUGUAAUUUUAAUUCCCUGAGUUUGGGAGAUUUUUUUUGGCAUCGAUUUUUCUUCAACUUUGAAAAUGGAUAGGAGUUUCAUGUUAUCAAGCAUUGAUUCCGAAUUGGAAAAUUUGUGAAGCGAAUACUGGGUACUGUUGUGGAUUUAGUUUUUAUACAGGGAAACUAAUGUUAGUCAGUAUGGCUUAGGGUAUGAUGUGGUCUGGAAGUUAUUGUUUGAAGCGAUCAAUGCGGAAACAAACUUACGCAAAAUGUAAACAAACACAAAAUGGGGGUUCAAAUUUCGCAAAAUUUGUGAAGCAAAUACUGGGUACUGCGUGGAUUUAGUUUUUAUACAGGGAAAAUAAUGUUAGUCAGCAUGGCCUAGAGAACGAUGUGGUCUGGAAUUUAUCACUUCCAUACCAUAACCAGGGCCGCUUCAGCGAUCGUGGGCUCCUGUGAGUAGAGACCCUGGUAGUACUCCAUCCAUCUAUCCAUUUCUUUUUAGGUUGUCUCUUUUCUGUCAGCUGGAGCUAGCUGAGCCUGGGACUCGUGUCAAACGGGGUCGUCACUCCCUGAAGUAGUGAAGAAAAUCACUACCCACUACCUACGUAGGCGGUUUAGCAUUCGACAGUUAGGGUAUUCAAAUGUUAUUAACAGGAAUCCUAAGAUCUAAUUUUUGACAAAGAUCUGUGCUAAUAAUAGUAAUAUUAACAAUAAGGAUUUUACAUUUUGGCAUGAGCAGUAGUUUUAGGAGCAGGAGGUUUGUCAAUUACUUGGCUGGGACUUUAUUUUAAUCCUCCCUUCAUAGUUUAAAAGCAAAAUUGAUCUUUGCAGCAUUUGAACUCAAAAUGUUAAAGAACCAGAAGAAAUGCCACUAACCAUUUUGUCCUAAGUUAAUGAUUCUACCAGCUCACCACCUUAAUAAUUAUCUGUUCUACUACAGGCAUAAGGCCUGAAAUUUUGGUGGAAGAGUGCUAGACAACUAUAUUGACUCUUGUGCACAACUAGUGCUUAUUAAAUUGAUCCCAAAAGGAUGGAAAGCAAAGUAGACUUUGGAAUUUAAACUCCAAAACCUAAAAAUAGAUGAAAUGCUACUAAUCAUUUUGUUUGACAAGCUAAUGAUUCUGCUAGAUCCCUGCCUUAAUAAUAAUAAUCCUUUCUACUAUAGGCACAAGGCCUGAAAUUUGGGCGAGGGAGAUAUUCGAUUACAUCGACUCCAGUGUGUAAUUGGUACUUAUUUCAUCCGAAAGGAUGAAAGGCAAAGUUGACCUUGGCGGAAUUUGUAACAGAUUAAAUGCCGCUAAGCAUUUUGCCCAGCAUGCUAAUGAUUCUGCCAGCUUACUGCCUUCAAUAAUAAUAAUGAUAGUAACAAAAACAAUACUAGUAAUUUUCGUAAUACUUUCCCUUUAUUCAUUAUGAAUUUAAAGUUGAAAAUUUUGUAAACUGUGGGUUUUAUAAUAGAGAACACUAAUAUUUGGUUAGCAAUACGUUAGAAAUAUAUUAUUGUAAUAAGGAAGGAUUAGAUAUGUUCUAAACUGGACAGAUGUCUGUAUCUCUUACCAGAUGGUAUUAGUUCUGAUGUUUGUUGUUGACUGCAGAAGUAUGUGUAAUUAAAGCACCUUAUCUAGCUUUCUAAGUAUGGGAAAAUUUUGAAUUAAAUGAGACUCUAGUGUUAUUGAGAGCUUUAAAGCUAAAUUGUUUUAGGCUGAAUGCUUAACUCCUUCCGUUUAUCUCACCUGUCAAACUAGUGGGAUUAACGGACGUAUAUGUAUAUAUAUAUUUGUAUAUUCGCUGUGUUAAUACAAAGUUAUUCAUCAACUGUUCAUCCACUAGUAAACAUACAGUAUUUAUCUAUGAUUAGUGUCUGCAGGUCACCUUUAAGUGCAGUGUUAGUGGAGCUUUAGUUUAUUAAUAUUUCAACAGACCUACUUUUUUAAGCUUAGAAUAGUUUUCAGCUGUUCUUUUAUCUCUGAUUCAGAGAAAAUUUCAUUCUAAAUAACUAUUUUAAUAUAAUUUACUUAGUUUAUUAUGUUUAUAUAAUUAACUAUGAAAAACAGAUUUCUUACAUUAAUCACUAAAGGAGAUUCAGACACAUCAGUUUAUUUGAGAACUUGUCUUAAUGUUCUAAUAAUGACAUUGGGAAAAAUCUUUGCUGUAAGAAUAAUUUUCAUUGUGGUUAAAAUUUCAAUUGAUAAAAAAUUAUUUUCAGCUCACCAUGUCAAAUAGUUUGCAUUUAAUAUUCUAAUAUUAAUAUUUAUUUGGAUAAAUGUUACAUUCAGAGCAUCCUGAGGGACGACCUAGAUAGAUAGAUAGAUGUUACACUGAUUGUUGUUUGCUUUCUGGAUCACCUCCACACCAACCAAUGUUCAGUCUAUUCUGUUUGAUUCAAUUCAGUAUCAGUAUGUACAUCAUUUAAAUAAAAAAAUAAAAAAUUACAAAGACGUCUGUGAAAUUAAGGGUUUAAAAUUGCAUUAUCCAUUUCUUUUUAGGUUGUCUCUUUUCUGUCAGCUGGAGCUAGCUGAGCCUGGGACUCAUGUCAAACGGGGUCGUCACUCCCUGAAGUAGUGAAGAAAAUCACUACUUUCCUUUUUCCUCUUUAGACACUUGAGUCUAGGUGCAGGUGUGACUGUGGUACUGUGUGGUACCUUGGGCAUGUCUACUUUAGCCUUGGGCUGACCUAAGCCUUGUGAGUGUAUUUGGUAGAUAGAAACUCAAAGAAGCUGGUUGUGUGUGUUUGUCCCCCAGCACCACUUAACAACUGAUGUUGGUGUGUUUACAUCCCUGUAACUUAGCAAUUUGGCAAAAGAGACCAAUAGAAUAAGUACUGGAGUCAAUUCAUUUAACUAAAAUUCUUCAAGGUGGUUCCUCAGCAUGACCACAGUCUAAUAACUGAAACAAGUAAAAGAAAAGAUAAAAGAUAAAUUGAGUGUGAUUUGAUGGAAUUUAGACUUUUAUAUCUGGCAGUUUAAGUGACUACAUAGAGGUUCUGUUAUGACAUGGCCAAAGCACCAAACAAUUAUUUCUGUUGUUGGUGUUUCAUUGGGAACAUCCAGCUGAAAGAAACGAAUUUUUGUUACCAUGCAAUAAUAAUUAGCAUAUGAAGUGUUUGUGUGGUCAAUGUAAAUCCAGUGUUGUAUGGCUAAAUUAGGUAACUUUAUGAAGUCAUGUAAAAAAAGAAGUUUUACGCAGCCAGCGUAGGUAGUGUUGCAAUGCCAGUGCAAGUGGAGUGUUGCCAGGCCAUUGUAGUGUGGUUAGUGUGGAUUCCGCAUUAUGUUGUCAGAGUGAGGCCAGUAAAGGGGAAACUUUAAUGUUAUUGUAGGUGAGGUGCUGAUUUAUUGGUGUAGCUCCAGUGUAGUGUGGUCAUUAGUGCUGGGUAUCUAGUGUAGGUCCAUUAUAGUUUGGCUGGUAUUAACUGGUGCUAUUUCCUCUCUGUAUUUUUAGAAUUAUGGCACGUGGUCAGCAGAAAAUUCAGUCACAGCAAAAACAGAAACUAAAGAAAGAUAAAAUGAAGAAAUCCACUGGACAUGACCAGAAGAAGGCUGCAGCAGCAGCACUCAACUAUAAGUGCACUGUUUGUAUGGUAAUGUAUAGAUGUAUAUAUAUUUGCCAUUAAUGAUGACUAACCAGAAAUGCAUAGAGUUGUCUCCUUUAUUUACUCAGCCUGCUAAUCCUUCCUUUUCACAUUUAACAUGAGUUAUUUUGAAUGUUGGAAAUGUUAUCAGCCUCCCCUGCUCUCAAUAUCUAAGUGAAGCACUCAGUCCUAUAAUGAUUGAGCAGAAAGUACCUAAAAGUGGGUUUGCUUAUUCAAAUGUUUAUAGUGUCUUUAGGUUAUUUUGAAAAUUGGCAAUAUUACCAAAAAACUUGUUUGUUAAGUAGUCAUUUGUGCUAAAAAUGUUGUACAUCUGUGUUUAUUAAUUAAUUACAUAAUAACUAAAAACACAUACUCAAAAACGUUGAUGUAAAGAAAUAUAUUAGUAAUAACUUGAAUAUAAAUAAUUAAGCCAUGGACAUACAAACAUCACGAACAAAAAACAAGUUUUAUCCUGCCCCCUUUUUUUUUUUGCAGCUUUUUCAUUAUGAAAUUAAGACAGGUGUUUCAUUUUGUUCCACAUACAAAUUGGUUUGCUGGGCAAUUGUACUGAUCAAACUUGACCUGUCAAGUUUAAAAAAAAUAUAAUCAACAGGCUUCACAUCAAGUUCCAAAGGGAUCUUUGAAUCAACAACACUUAAAAAAAAGUUUAAUUUCAUUAUCGAAAAUGGUGUUUCACCCAUUCAAAUGGUAAUAUACUAUCCAAGUCACUUGAAAAGUUGAACUAGUUGAAGUCAGAUUGCUUGUGUGUACUGAAGAAACGGAUAUAUCACUGUGGCUGUCACCUCCAAAAGCCUUAUCUUCCAUUAAUUCAUUGUUGUUGUGCAAAGAAUGAUUAUCAGUCGUUUUCCAAAAUAAACUUCUAUCAAGAAUAAACAUAUAUAUAUAUACACACACACAUAUACAUGCUCACUUUUUAAAAAUAUGUACAUAAUUUCUUUUGUAUUAAUUUGUUCUGGAGGAAAGUACUGUAUCCCAUAAUCGUCAUAGACCAGUGGGAACGACAAUGUUUCACUUGAUUAAUUAGCAAGUUGUUGGCUGCAACAAAAACCUGGACAGGGUAAUUUUAAGAGGUGAAGAGAGAAAGGAUUGGGAAAAUGUUUAGUGUGAGUCUUGGGUGGUUGAACACAAUAUGGAUUGUGAGACGAGUGAAUGAGGAGGAAUACCUGAGUGGAGGUGGUACAAGACCAGCCAGCUGUGAGGAUCAGAGAUUAUUAGUUGUAGUGGUGGUAGAAAAAUGGCAUUGAGAAUUUUUUUUAACUUUUAAAAGAAUUUUUUUUUGUCUCCCAGUGCUAGCAAUCUAUUUGGUGGAUCUCUUUUGGUGUUUAAAUGUAAGAUUUAAGGAUUACUUUGCUGUAUUCUUAGUGUUUGUUUCUCAUGAAUUUCAGUCUUUGAUGCCUGAUGUAAAAACCUACAAACAGCACUUUGAAAACAAACAUCCGAAAGCAUCUUUGCCAGAAGAAUUGAAACUGGAAUGACAGGUAAAUACUCUGUUGUUGUUGAUGAUGAUGAUGAUACAACAAAACAAAUUUUUAUGAGUUACCACUAUCUACCAGCAGCUUUCUUUCAUUAAUGGUGUUUUUUGUUUUUGCUUAGUCAGUGGGGGCAGCGCAGUUCCCAUGGCCCUUUUCAUGGUCUCCAAGACGUGACCCCCUGAUGCUUACAACAGGGGCCAUGUGAUUUAGUCUGGUUAUUUGGCUUGAAUGCUCUUGAUUGGAUCAAAUUUGAGUGAUCCAGUUAGAUGAGUCUAUAAUAUUUGACAUUGUACGACAUUUGUCAGUAAAUGUUAUCAUAACAGUAUCAUUCAUUUGUAAUGCUCCGGAAAACCCUGUCUAGUCAUUGUGCUGUUCAUGUUCAGAGGACUAGAGGAUAUAUCAACUGACUUGGAAACAAAUUUAACCCUUUCGUUACUAAACCGCCCAAAGCCGCCAGAAAAAAAUUUUGGUUAAUGUGACCAAAGCUGCCCGUAUUUACCUAUUCAUAUUUAAAUGAGAAUAUCAGAGCAAAUCUCUUUAGUACAUUCGUGAAAACACGUGAUUGUACUUCGUAAACAGUUCAUCUACAGUUUUGUACAACGAUCGACGUGUAAUUUUAAUUCCCUGAAUUUUGGGAGAUUUUUUUUCCACAUUUUUUUCGGCAUCGAUUUUUCUUCAACUUUGAAAAUGGAUAGGAGUUUCAUGUUAUCAAGCAUUGAUUCCGAAUUUAAAGCUUUUUCAACGGAAAAUAGGGAGAUAUCGAGAAAAAGAAUGAAAUAGGUACAGAAGCACGAAAAUGAAAGCGAUUCCAAAGAAACAAAUCGGCGAUGGCGACAGCAAAAACGAUUUUACAUCGGAAUGAAGUAAAAAAAAUUUUUAAAUGUUUUUAUUAGCAAUUUUUCUGAGGAGAUAAAGUUUAUCUAUAGCCUUUCUUAGGAAGUGAAACCAUUAGACUUUUAUUUUUUUCAGUAUGCUAGUUUGAAGCGAUCACUUAGAAAACAAAUUUACACUGAUUGUAAACAAACACAAAAUGGGGGUUCAAAGUUUGGAAAAUUUGUGAAGCAAAUACUGGGUACUGUUGUGGAUUUAGUUUUUAUACAGGGAAACUAAUGUUAGCAUGGCCUAGGGAACGAUGUGGUCUGGAAUUUAUCACUUCCAUACCAUAACCAGGGCCGUAUAUUAUUUUUUGACCGAUUUCUUUAGUUUGGUCAAACUUGCGGUGGAUUCUAGUAUUUCACUUUAUUCCACCUUUAUGGUACACCUGUUGUGCAUUAAAUUCAACUGAUGAUAUAGUGAUGUGCACAAUUCUUCUUUGUCAAAAUUUUGUUGCAUACCCAUUUGAAUAUUAGCUGAUGAUUCAUUUUCUAUGGUGAUGUUUAAACAAAAUUUUAUUAUUUUUACCUAUUGCUCAAUUUACCUGGAUUUACCUGUAAUUAAAGUCACUUUGAGACAAAAGUUAUGCAAUAGAAUUGAUUAAGAACCCUUUCUUUAAUUAUGUUCCAAAUAUCACAUUAACAUGUUGAUAAGUAAAAAAGUUACAGUUAUUUAAUGAAACAAGCCUAGAUUCAUGAUUAUUUUAGAAUUUAAUUGAAACUCAUGAGGGGUGUAUUUUGGUCAGAAAUAUAGUAACGAAAGGGUUAAGUUGGUGAUAGGUGAAACUAUGUAUAAAUGUGUAUUGAUGUCUUUAUCUUUUACUUGUUUCAGUCUCUAGCUAUGUUGGGGUACUGCCUUGAAGAAUUAUUAAUUGAAUGAAUUGGCCCAAUAACUUUUUCUUUUAAACCUAGUACUUAUUCUAUCAAACUGCUAAGUUACGGGGACCAACACCAGCUGUCAAGCAAUGGUGGGGAGAAACACACAUGACAAGCUUCUUACAGUUUCUGUCAACCAAACCCACUCACAAGGCUUUGGCUGGCCUGCGGCUAUAAUAGAAGACACUUACCCAACUCCCUAACCAUGUGGUUCAGAAGCGAGCUUCUUACCACAUAGCCAUGCUGUGCCUACUUUUAUCUCCCCCCCCUCUUUUCUACAUUUUAACAUUGGCUUUUCCAUACUUGCAUGGAGCAUAUGAAAUUUUUAAAGUAGUUUUUCAGCUACACAAUAUUUUCUCAUGAUUGGACAUGUUUUUACAGAAACACACAGCUUGUAUGGUGGUGAUGCUUGGUUAUAUCUGUUGCAUGAUCUCAAGAAAAUGAGACAAACAUACAUUAUACAAAUGUGGAUGUGUGUAUAUGUAUGCAUAUGUAUGUAUAUGUAUGUAUAUAUAUAUAUUUGAAUUGAACCAAGAGAAAUAACUUUGUAGUGGCCAUGGGCAUGUAAUUUGAACACUUUUCAUGCCGAACCAUUCGAGACUACCCUGAUGUAUACUUUCUGUUUUAAAGUGAUCUAAAUCAUAAUCUUCUGUCAAAACUUCAUAUGUUACAAAGUGUUAAUACUAUACAAAAUUAUUCUUGUUUUAAGGAAAAUAUCUCUGCUUCCAGUGUAGGCGAAACAAUCACUUGGUGGCACUUGAGACCAACUCCAAAUAAGGAGAGAUGAUCUCGAGAAUUGAGACUUUUCCAAAACUGAUGCACCAUUAAGGAAAAGACAGUCUGUGUGUCUGGAGAUAAAGGACAGCUGUAGUUGCAUAUUUCUGCCUCACUUAGCAUCAUCAGCAUAGCAGUUUUCCUACUUUAUUUCCAGCAGAAUGAGACAGACAUGGCCCUAGGUAAUUUGAUAAAAUGAGAAUAACUCUAAAUGGCCACUACACUUGUACUCUUUUCUCUUUUUCUAUUUCCUGUAUCUUUCGUUCACUAUUCUCUUCUUUUGUGUAACUUUUUCCAUGAACCACUAAUGAGUUCUAUGUUUUAAUAAAACCAAUCUACAUUAUUUACAUUUGAUGGAUAUCUGUCCUCAUCUUGUUUGUUGUUAAUGUUUUGGCUAAUAUACCCUCCAGCCUUCAUCAGGUUGUCUUGGGGAAAUUUCAAACCUGGGUACUCAUUCCUAAGGUAUUUCUUUUUACCCGCUUCUUUUAUAAAGAAUGGUGAUGGUGAUGUUGUUGUUGAUGUUGAUGAUGAUGAUGAUGAUGAUGACGAGGACGACGACGUCGUCGUCGUCGUCGUCACUGCCUGGAAUCUUGAUGUUAGUAGCCUGCGCUUUUAACCACUAUGCCAUAUGCCCACAGGCAUAUGGCAUAGAAUGCGGGCUACUAACCCCAAGAUUCCAAGUUUGAUUCCAGGCAGUAACCUGAAUAAUAAUAAUAACAUAGAAAAAAUCCUUAGGAAUGAGAAACCAGGUUUGAAAUUUCCCCAAGACAACCUGAUGAAGGGCAUAUCAGCUGAGACGUUGCAUUAACAACAAACAAGAUGAGGACAAAUAUCCGUCAAAUGUAAAUAAUGUACAUAAUUUCUCAUCUCUUAAAUAUAGAACUGUAUUAUAAAACCAGUCUAUUUUUCAUUUCAGCUACCAUGGUGACUUAAGCUAGACUCUGCCAGAAACAUCUCCCCAAUUAUUGGCAGAUCCUGAAGAAAACCAACCUGCUGUGUAUUCCUCUUUUGUAGCAACAGUCACCUUUCUAUUUUCACACCUUUUCCUUCUGACACUAUCUCCAGCUCCCACCCCUCAUCAUUUUGGAGUCCUGCCUGGAAGUUCUCUAAGCCAAAGUCCCAGAAACUUUCUUCCUGCCCUUCCCUACACCAUAACAUCAAAUGUAUUUCAUCUUCAACUUCCAUCUCCUCAUCUAAUUUCUUUUAAUGGAUACUGUUGUUAUAAGUGUAUGUGGUAAGUAGGCCCUUACAUACAGUUGGACUCGCAUACCUGAGACCAUAGUCUUUAGUGUUUGUGUGAAGCAAACUGUAUAGGUCAUGCAGGAAUUGAUGUACAGUGUGUAUGUGAGUGUGUGUGUUGGUUGUCUUUUUGUCUUUAUCAGUCACUGGUGAGGUACAUAGUUGUACCUUGGCAAGCAUCCUGAAUUUUAGUGUUGUCUUUCUGGAAGCUAGAGCAGAGUGUAUCUAUGUCUGCAGUUUGUCUGUUCUAUUGUCUCCCUCUCUCUCUCUCUCUUUUUCUUUCUCUUCUUUUCUCAAAAUAUCUCUCUCUCAUUAAUUCUCUAGUUCUAAUCAGCAGUAUCACACACCAUGCCACAUCCAUUACUUCACACCACUUCAUUUUAUGCCACAUUAAUUUCACACACAUCACACCACUGUAGUUUAUUUAUUCCAUCAAUUGAAAAAAGAGAAAAAGAAAUUGAUAUUUACUAAUAUUAUAUUAAGAAUUAAAAUAAAUUUCAAAACAACACCAAAAAAAUCAUCUGUUGCCAUCCAGUUAUUUUUUACCAAUCUUUUCUCAUUUUAGGAUUCAUAGCAUUUUUAAUAUCAUUCCUCACACACACACACACAUGUAGUGACACUCUCACACAUACACACGUGUAAUAACACAAAUGUACACAGAGUAGCACACACACAUGUACAUGCACACACAAAGUAACAUACACACACAUAACUGCACAGAUGCACUUGGCAAAACACAGCCAGCAACACAUUCACAUGCAUGCAUACACAGACCAACACAUUUAUGUGCAUACACACACAUCUGUACAGGCACAAAAAUCAAUACACAUAUAUACAAAUGUACACAUACUCAUGCAAACAAUUAACAAAGAAAUUAAAUAAGAUAAACUUUUUUUAUUUAUUAAAAUUUUUAUU
Molecule: long non-coding RNA, 17844 nt
Filed under: Octopus vulgaris (common octopus)
Lineage: Eukaryota; Metazoa; Mollusca; Cephalopoda; Octopoda; Octopodidae
Source: RNAcentral